GAUGAACGCUGGCGGCGUGCCUAAUACAUGCAAGUCGAGCGAACAGACGAGGAGCUUGCUCCUCUGACGUUAGCGGCGGACGGGUGAGUAACACGUGGAUAACCUACCUAUAAGACUGGGAUAACUUCGGGAAACCGGAGCUAAUACCGGAUAAUAUAUUGAACCGCAUUGUUCAAUAGUGAAAGACGGUUUUGCUGUCACUUAUAGAUGGAUCCGCGCCGCAUUAGCUAGUUGGUACGGUAACGGCUUACCAAGGCGACGAUGCGUAGCCGACCUGAGAGGGUGGUCGGCCACACGGGAACGGAGACGCGGUCCAGGCGCCUACGGUAGGCAGCAGUAGGGAAUCUUCCGCAAUGGGCGAAAGCCUGGCGGAACAACGCGGAGUGAGAGAUGAAGGUCUUCGGAUCGUAAAACUCUGUUAUUAGGGAAGAACAAAUGUGUAAGUAAAUAUGCACGUCUUGACGGUACCUAAUCAGAAAGCCACGGCUAACUACGUG
RNAcentral lists this ribosomal RNA (497 nucleotides) under uncultured bacterium. RNAcentral describes it as "partial 16S ribosomal RNA". It matches the Rfam family "Bacterial small subunit ribosomal RNA", at positions 28 to 507 of the family's 1533-position model. The record is from RNAcentral.